UACGUAGGGGGCAAGCGUUGUCCAGAUUUAUUGGGUUUAAAGGGUGCGUAGGCGGCUUUGUAAGUCAGUGGUGAAAUAUGGCAGCUCAACUGUCAGGGUGCCAUUGAUACUGCGGAGCUUGAGUACAGAUGAGGUAGGCGGAAUUGACGGUGUAGCGGUGAAAUGCUUAGAUAUCGUCAAGAACACCGAUAGCGAAGGCAGCUUACUAGGCUGUAACUGACGCUGAGGCACGAAAGUGUGGGGAUCAAACAGG
Molecule: ribosomal RNA, 253 nt
Filed under: uncultured bacterium
Lineage: Bacteria
Description: partial 16S ribosomal RNA
Rfam family: Bacterial small subunit ribosomal RNA
Source: RNAcentral